This 274-nucleotide ribosomal RNA is filed under the name uncultured bacterium. RNAcentral describes it as "partial 16S ribosomal RNA". It matches the Rfam family "Bacterial small subunit ribosomal RNA", at positions 523 to 796 of the family's 1533-position model. The record is from RNAcentral.
AUACGGAGGGGGCUAGCGUUGUUCGGAAUUACUGGGCGUAAAGCGCGCGUAGGCGGACUGGUUAGUUGGGGGUGAAAUCCCAGGGCUCAACCCUGGAACUGCCCUCAAUACUGCCAGUCUUGAGUUCGAGAGAGGUAAGUGGAAUUCCUAGUGUAGGGGUGAAAUUCGUAGAUAUUAGGAAGAACACCAGUGGCGAAGGCGGCUUACUGGCUCGAUACUGACGCUGAGGCGCGAAAGCGUGGGGAGCAAACAGGAUUAGAUACCCUAGUAGUCC